This 945-nucleotide ribosomal RNA is filed under the name uncultured bacterium. Its description in RNAcentral is "bacterial SSU rRNA". It matches the Rfam family "Bacterial small subunit ribosomal RNA", at positions 12 to 957 of the family's 1533-position model. The record is from RNAcentral.
UUUGAUCCUGGCUCAGGAUGAACGCUAGCGGCAGGCCUAAUACAUGCAAGCUGAACGGCAAGAGCUUUAGCAAUAGAGUUCCUAGAGUAGCGUAAGGGUGCGUAACACGUAUGCAAUCUACCCACAACAGGAGGAUAGCUCCCCGAAAGGGGAAUUAAGACUCCAUAAUAUCAUAUGAGGGCAUCUGAGUAUGAUUAAAGUACAAGCGGUUGUGGAUGAGCAUGCGUCUGAUUAGUUAGUUGGCGGGGUAACGGCCCACCAAGACGAUGAUCAGUAGGGGAACUGAGAGGUUGGUCCCCCACACUGGCACUGAGAUACGGGCCAGACUCCUACGGGAGGCAGCAGUAGGGAAUAUUGGACAAUGGGUGCAAGCCUGAUCCAGCCAUGCCGCGUGCAGGAAGAAGGCCUUCUGGGUCGUAAACUGCUUUUACCGGGGGAUAAAAUACUCGUGCGCGAGGAAUUGAAAGUACCUGGUGAAUAAGCCACGGCUAACUACGUGCCAGCAGCCGCGGUAAUACGUAGGUGGCAAGCGUUGUCCGGAUUUAUUGGGUUUAAAGGGUGCGUAGGCGGUCCUGUAAGUCAGUUGUGAAAUACGGCAGCUUAACUGUCGAGGUGCAAUUGAUACUGCAGGACUUGAGUACUGAUGAGGUAGGCGGAAUGGACGGUGUAGCGGUGAAAUGCUUAGAUAUUACACAGAACACCGAUUGCGAGGCAGCUUACUAAACUGUUACUGACGCUGAUGCACGAAAGCGUGGGGAGCGAACAGGAUUAGAUACCCUGGUAGUCCACGCCGUAAACGAUGCUCACUCGCUGUUUGCGAUACACAGCAAGCGGCCAAGCGAAAGCAUUWAGUGAGCCACCUGGGGAGUACGAUCGCAAGGUUGAAACUCAAAGGAAUUGACGGGGGCCCGCWCAAGCGGAGGAACAUGUGGUUUAAUUCGAUGA